ACGAGUUUUGUACCAAUACGGUACAAUCUUCAUCCAUAACACCUGUGAACUUUACAUUAACAUUUGCUUUGGCUGGACGUAAAAAACCUAGCCAAAGGAUUAAACAAAACCUUUUAUUUAAUAACCUAUUGUCUGAAUUGUAAUAAUUUUAAUUAUUCA
This 159-nucleotide unclassified non-coding RNA is filed under the name uncultured Saccharomycetales. Its description in RNAcentral is "sequence contains ITS1". The record is from RNAcentral. Lineage: Eukaryota; Fungi; Ascomycota; Saccharomycetes.